This is a long non-coding RNA of Cyprinus carpio (common carp), 1105 nucleotides long. The record is from Ensembl. Lineage: Eukaryota; Metazoa; Chordata; Actinopteri; Cypriniformes; Cyprinidae.
CAAAAAUUGAAAUUCAAAAAGAAAAGCUCCCUGAUAAGUAUUCACUGAAGUAAAGAGCAUGACAACUAGCCCCAAUCUCCACAACAGUGCAAACAUAUUCUGUAACAGACAUAAAUCUUUAUGAUAUAACAUUCCACUUUUAAUCUCACACUUCUAACUUCAUUUUGCAAGUUUAUUUCUCACCCUAUUAGUUCCCCCCCCCCCCCCACCCCCCUCCCCCCCCUCCCCCCCCCCCCCCCCCCCCACCCCCCCCCCCCCCUCCCCCCCCCCCCCCCCCCCCCCCACACACACACACACACACACACACACACACGCACACACACAUUCAUGCUCUUUUGAUCGACCCAUUCAAGAAACUUCACCUCCUGCCCUGUAAAGACAGAGGCUCCUGCAGCCUGCGCUGUUAUCAUCUCACACCUCUUAGGAGCUCUAGGCCAAUUAUAUGUUUUAUUGUUAAUUUUGAAAUAAUUUCACUUGAUUGUUUUUAAAAAUGUCCCAUGGGAUCUGCAAGACAAAGACCAUCAAGAUUGCAUAUGAUAAACAUGUUGCCACGUUUAUUGCAACUCUCUUGACUUCAUGCACACCAUGAUGGCCUAGGGCCGCUGACAACUUGCUGAUAUUUGUAUGUUGUCUAACUCUGCUGACAUGCACUUCGUAAGGUGUCAUGAUAACAUUACAACCCAGGAAUGACAGAAUUAAGUAAAAGAUCAAAUUUUUCAACCAAAUUGAAACGACAUCUUGUCCAUUUAAUUAUAUGGGGGCAUGUUUUUCAUAUUUGGCUCUAAACACUGAGAAUGUUCGUAAGAUUGUUUGUUUAUAUGUUUAUUUGUCUGCUGCCUCUUUGGGAACCAGAACAGCAGGUGUGGGGAGAAGUAAUGACAGGACUCCAUUUUACUGGCUGUCACAUCCCAGCAUGCUCGCUGCUGUCCAGUCGAGUGCACCGACUGAAAGAUGACAAGCUGACAGCUCACCACACAGGAUACCAGGCGUCUAAUGACAUUCUACUUUUGCGAGAUGGGUUUCCAGAAUUACUGAUGUCCAUCUGUCUCAGCAUCCUGCCAAGACCUCUCAGUUCACUUCCAGAUAGACACUCUCAUGGUGGAGG